Molecule: long non-coding RNA, 1562 nt
Organism: Nematostella vectensis (starlet sea anemone)
Lineage: Eukaryota; Metazoa; Cnidaria; Anthozoa; Actiniaria; Edwardsiidae
Exons: 2
Source: RefSeq, a predicted model, not a curated record
UCCCAUGUGAUUGGCACUGAUGCCCAUCAACACUCGUGGAUGCCUCGUACUAAUGUUUUACAGGACGCUUUUCUCGCUAAUGCGCACCAUUAGCGUAGCCGGCCCAGCGUACUGCUCCUCUCAAGCACUCAACAGCAAGUGCACUCAUUUCCGCGUGUUUACUCUUGUUGGUACCCGGUUAUGGAUUAUACACCAAUGAUUCUAAAGCAACUAUCACUUAUGCCAAAAGUGUGCAACAUCUUCAUAAUUGUGAAGUACCUGUCACUGAUACGCCAAAACGAAUGGAAUAACAUCUUUCUUAAAUGCAAUCAUGACUUGAAUUUGGCUAUAUAGAAUCAAUCAUCCAUCGAAAAAAAAGGCUGGUCUUCGAUCGUUUGCUUCAGCGUAUCUUCACGUGAGGGUGCUGCCGUUUGACGGGGGGAUGAACGAUUGUCGCACAAAUGGCAUCGACAGUUUCGUAGCCAGGAGUUUCGGGGAGCUCGGGGAGUCCUAACCGCGAAAACGCAACCUUUAAGUGAACCAGUCUCGUGUUAGUACUAAUAAAUACAAAAGUUAGCAAGGAAAACCACUACGACCACGCGGUUAACAUGAUUUCGUAUGCCCACAGGGAACGCCAAUGAAUGGAAGAUAUUGAUAUUGUUAUCGCUUACUAUCGGAUGUCACCUUUCUACAAGUUCUUUCACGUUACGCUGACGACCAGAAAGUCAUAGUAUUCGACGUGAAUUGAAGAGGAGCACAUGAUAAGCUUAGACUCAUUUUAUCCUCGCUCCACUAGCCAUCUUAUUGAGAAUAGACGUUUUUUUACUGGAGUCUCCAGACGUCGAUCCACUGGUCAGUUCUCAAAUGUGACAAAAAUAAAGAUAAAUAAAUAGUAACGCACCAGUCAAUUGACAGCCUGGCCCCCGACCUGAAGAUAAAUAAAUAGUAACGUACCAGUCAAUUGACGGCCUGCCCCCCCUGACCCCCGGGACAUACCCGGGAGGUAACGCGGUCAUGCGGGGGAUUUAACACCUAUUUAACACCUGUUGUCCACCGGGGGCAGGGGAUUUAACAGAAGACCUCAACAGGCCGGGAAAGGGGGCGGGGAAUUAACGCUGAACUGGAAGUUGCGUCCCCGUUUUUUUUCCCGGCGUAUCAAAAUUAUAAUUUUUCAACAAAGAUGCUUGCUUGCAAAUCUAAAUCUCUGAUAGUAUUGACUGAAAAAAAUAUAGUUUACUCUCUAUCUAUCGAUGUCUGUUGAUUUUUAAAUUUGGGGUAGCCUGUGGUGAAAAUACUAGAAAGGGCACGAAAGCGGGUGUAGUAUGCAUACGCUUUUUCCCGCCGAAGUUUCGUUCACUAACAUGGCAGCUCAAAGAAAGGUAUGGCUUUCUAUGGUGGGACGUUAUCGGAAAAUACCGGGGCCAUGUAUUGGGGGUUUUAACAGCGUCAUUUCACACCACAUGAAUGCUACUUUACCCGCUAUGUCCCGGGGGCCGGGGUGCCGUGGUUUCAAUUGACUUGUGCAUAAUAACUUUGGGGCAUUCAUUGAGCGAAAAUGAUAAUAAUAUGAUGAUAAAACGCGA